AGGGUUUGAUCCUGGCUCAGAACGAACGCUGGCGGCAGGCCUAACACAUGCAAGUCGAACGAACCGUGUCCUUCGGGGCACAAUGGUUAGUGGCGCACGGGUGAGUAACGCGUGGGAAUAUGCCUUGGAGUACGGAAUAACUAAGGGAAACUUUAGCUAAUACCGUAUACGCCCUAAGGGGGAAGAUUUAUCGCUCCAGGAUUAGCCCGCGUCUGAUUAGCUUGUUGGUAGGGUAACGGCCUACCAAGGCUACGAUCAGUAGCUGGUCUGAGAGGAUGGCCAGUCACACUGGGACUGAGACACGGCCCAGACUCCUACGGGAGGCAGCAGUGGGGAAUAUUGGACAAUGGGGGCAACCCUGAUCCAGCCAUGCCGCGUGAGUGAAGAAGGCCUUCGGGUUGUAAAACCCUUUCAGCGGGGACGAUGAUGACGGUACCCGCAGAAGAAGCCCCGGCUAACUCCGUGCCAGCAGCCGCGGUAAUACGGAGGGGGCUAGCGUUGUUCGGAAUUACUGGGCGUAAAGCGCGCGUAGGCGGUGUGCAUAGUCAGAGGUGAAAGCCCGGGGCUCAACCCCGGAACUGCCUUUGAUACUGGCAUGCUAGAAUCCGUGAGAGGGUAGUGGAAUUCCUAGUGUAGAGGUGAAAUUCGUAGAUAUUAGGAAGAACACCAGUGGCGAAGGCGACUACCUGGCACGGCAUUGACGCUGAUGUGCGAAAGCGUGGGGAGCGAACAGGAUUAGAUACCC
This 745-nucleotide ribosomal RNA is filed under the name uncultured bacterium. RNAcentral's name for it is "bacterial SSU rRNA". It matches the Rfam family "Bacterial small subunit ribosomal RNA", at positions 8 to 787 of the family's 1533-position model. The record is from RNAcentral.